This 245-nucleotide ribosomal RNA is filed under the name uncultured bacterium. RNAcentral's name for it is "partial 16S ribosomal RNA". It matches the Rfam family "Bacterial small subunit ribosomal RNA", at positions 524 to 768 of the family's 1533-position model. The record is from RNAcentral.
UACAGAGACCUCAAGCGUUAUCCGGAUUUAUUGGGCGUAAAGCGUCCGCAGGUGGCCAGGCAAGUCAGGGGUCAAAACUCAGAGCUUAACUCUGAGAUUGCUUCUGAUACUAUCUGGCUUGAGAACGGGAGAGGCAAGCGGAAUUCUCGGUGUAGUCGUAAUAAGCGUUGAUAUCGAGAAGAACACCAAAUGCGAAAGCAGCUUGCUAGUACGUUUCUGACACUCAUGGACGAAAGCGUGGGGAG